UACAGAGGGCUCGAGCGUUGCGCGGAGUCACUGGGCUUAAAGCGUACGUAGGCGGGCGUGCAGGCAUCGUGUGAAAUCCCCCGACUCAACCGGGGAACUGCUCGGUGAACCGCACGUCUUGAGGUCAGUAGGGGCGGUCGGAACGAUAGGUGGAGCGGUGAAAUGCGUAGAUAUCUAUCGGAACGCCGAAGGUGAAGACAGGCCGCUGGGCUGAUUCUGACGCUGAGGUACGAAAGCGUGGGGAGCAAACGGG
This 253-nucleotide ribosomal RNA is filed under the name uncultured prokaryote. Its description in RNAcentral is "partial 16S ribosomal RNA". It matches the Rfam family "Bacterial small subunit ribosomal RNA", at positions 524 to 776 of the family's 1533-position model. The record is from RNAcentral.